Long non-coding RNA from Solanum tuberosum (potato), 266 nucleotides. RefSeq lists it as uncharacterized. The transcript has 3 exons. The record is from RefSeq and is a predicted model, not a curated record. Lineage: Eukaryota; Viridiplantae; Streptophyta; Magnoliopsida; Solanales; Solanaceae.
UGCAAUGCAGGAUGUCCAUAAUCAACGAAUGUUUUUCCAAGGAUACUGUCGAGGAGAUAUUGAUGUCAUUUGAAGUUGAGGCACAUAAAUUAGGAAAUGGUUGGAUUCAACCAGUGCUUAAACACCUAAAGAAAUUAUCCCCAACGGGAUUAAAAAUAACACUAAGAUCGAUUCGAGAAGGAAGGAAACAAACAUUAUCUGAGUGUUUGAAGAAAGAAUUCAGAAUCUCGAAUAACAUAUUAAGGAGAACAAUAUCUAAUGAUUUC